RNAcentral lists this ribosomal RNA (253 nucleotides) under uncultured bacterium. Its description in RNAcentral is "partial 16S ribosomal RNA". It matches the Rfam family "Bacterial small subunit ribosomal RNA", at positions 524 to 776 of the family's 1533-position model. The record is from RNAcentral.
GACAGAGGGUGCGAACGUUGUUCGGAAUUACUGGGCGUAAAGCGCGUGUAGGCUGUUCGGCAAGUCGGGUGUGGAAGCCCUGGGCUCAACCUAGGAAGUGCACUCGAAACUCCCGAACUGGAGUCCCGGAGAGGAAGGUGGAAUUCUCGGUGUAGAGGUGAAAUUCGUAGAUAUCGAGAGGAACAUCGGUGGCGAAGGCGGCCUUCUGGACGGUGACUGACGCUGAGACGCGAAAGCGUGGGGAGCAAACAGG